RNAcentral lists this long non-coding RNA (11023 nucleotides) under Podarcis lilfordi (Lilford's wall lizard). Lineage: Eukaryota; Metazoa; Chordata; Lepidosauria; Squamata; Lacertidae. The record is from RNAcentral.
UUCUGAUCGGCAAGCCCUAGGCUCUGUGGUUUAGACAUUGACAUUACACAGCUCUAAAAACCACUAAAUAAAUAAAUAAAACCUAAUGUGAUCCUGGAACGUCCCUCUUUUCCUUAGGAUAUCCCUAUUUCCAUGGGAGAACUGUUGGAAGGGACGCCUCCAUUUUCACUGGAGAAUUGUUGGAGGGUAUGGAAUAGGACGUUCCUGUUUUCAUCAGAGAAAUGUUGGAGGCAGGGCUUUCUUUCAGCCGGGACUCACCAGACCUGAGUUCUGGCACCUCUCAGGUGAGCGCCAUUGCCAUUACAGUGGUAAAAAGGUAAAGGUAAAGGUACCCCUGCCCGUACGGGCCAGUCGUGUCCAACUCUGGGGUUGCGCGCCCAUCUCGCUUAAGAGGCCGGGGGCCAGCGCUGUCCGAAGACACUUCCGGGUCACGUGGCCAGCGUGACAAGCUGCAUCUGGCGAGCCAGCGCAGCACACGGAAACGCCGUUUACCUUCCCGCUAGUAAGCGGUCCCUAUUUAUCUACUUGCACCCAGGGGUGCUUUCGAACUGCUAGGUUGGCAGGGGCUGGGACCGAGCAACGGGAGCACACCCCGCCGCAGGGAUUCGAACUGCCGACCUGACGAUCGGCAAGUCCUAGGCGCUGAGGUUUAACCCACAGUGCCACCCACAUCCCUUCUCACUGGUAAGCCGUCCCUAUUUAUCUACUUGCACCCGGGGGUGCUUUCGAACUGCUAGGUUGGCAGGCGCUGGGACCAAACAACGGGAGCGCACCCCGCCGCAGGGAUUUGAACCGCCGACCUUUCGAUCAGCAAGCCCUAGGCGCUGAGGCUUUUACCCACAGCGCCACCCGCGUCCCUAUUACAGUGGUACCUCAGGUUAAAUACUUAAUUCGUUCCGGAGGUCCGUACUUAACCUGAAACUGUUCUUAACCUGAAGCACCACUUUAGCUAAUGGGGCCUCCUGCUGCUGCCGCGCCACCAAAGCACGAUUUCUGUUCUCAUCCUGAAGCAAAGUUCUUAACCUGAAGCACUAUUUCUGGGUUAGCGGAGUCUGUAACCUGAAGCGUAUGUAACCUGAAGCGUAUGUAACCUGAGGUACCACUGUAUAAGAGAACAAGGGUUUGUAGUGCAUUCUGGCACCUCUUUUUCUAGAAAAAAUAUCACUGCUUGGAGGGUAUGGCACGCGUACAGAGAUUUGUUCAAAGGCAGAGUGUAUACAAGAGAAAGAGGCAGUGCCUGUAUUCCUUUUGCACGGCCCUUUAGUGAAACCACAAACCACCAUGUCUCCCGCAGCCUUUACAAACACGCUGCCUGUGUCAGCCUCUGUCCCCCGUGAUUCUGCUGAGCUGAGAAAUAUUGCUUCCCCAGAACAACAAUGGCAGGCAUGCCAAACGCCCACAACCUACUCUUUAAAUGCUGCUGUUUAGUGCCUGAGGCACAAAAUCAAUAUCCCCAGCAAUGUGGAACAAAGUAGUGGUGGCCUCAAUGUCAGGCAUCUUCCCCACUCCACCAGUGAGGGUCAACUGCCCGGUAUUUGCAGCCAGGGAAGGAAAAGCUGAAAGACUGUCAGCAAGCAAAAGGGAAAGAAACUCGGCAUUUAAACUUUGGGGGUCUGCUGCACUCUGCACAUGCACAGAAGCCCUCUGGUGUCAGGGCAGGUAAACAAAGGCUUGUUUAAUAAAUAUUCUAAAGAUAGUGGGUUCUUGCACUGAAUUCCCCUCCCCCCAGUAUGGCUGAUAAAGGUAAAGGUAAAGGGACCCCUGACCAUUAGGUCCAGUCGUGACCGACUCUGGGGUUGCGGCACUCAUCUCGCUUUAUUGGCCAAGGGAGCCGGCGUACAGCUUCCAGGUCAUGUGGCCAGCAUGACUAAGCCCCUUCUGGCGAACCAGAGCAGCGCACGGAAACGCCGUUUACCUUCCCGCCGGCGUGGUACCUAUUUAUCUACUUGCACUUGACGUGCUUUCGAAGUGCUAGGUUGGCAGGAGCAGGGGCCGAGCAACGGGAGCUCACCCCAUCGCGGGGAUUCGAACCACCAACCUUUUGAUCGGCAAGUCCUAGGCUCUGUGGUUUAACCCACAGCUCCACCCGCGUCCCUAGUAAGGCUGAUAGCCACGUUCAAUUAUCUAAAGGACCGUUACAAGGAAGAUGGAGCAAGCUUGUUUUCUCCUACUCCAGAGGAGCCAAUGGAUUCAAGUUACAAGAAAGGAGAUUCCGACUAAUCGCCAGGAAGAACUUUCUGCCGGUAAGAAGUGUUUGACAGUGGAAUGGAUUCCCUUGGGAACUGGUGGGCUCUCCUUUCUUGAAAGUUUUUGAGCAGAGGCUGGAUGGGCAUGGUCAUGGAUGCUUUAGCUGAGAUUCCUGCAUCUCAGGGGGUUGGACUGGAUAGCCCUCGGGGUCUCUUCCAACUCUACAAUUCUAUGAUAGUAUGAUAGGUAAAGGUAAAGGGACCCCUGAUCGUUAGGUCCAGUCGUGGAUGACUCUGGGGUUGCAGCGCUCAUCUCGCUUUAUUGGCCGAGGCAGCCGGCGUACAGCUUCUGGGUCAUGUGGCCAGACCCAGAGCAGCGCACAGAAACGCCAUUUACCUUCCCGCCGUAGCGGUACCUAUAUAUAAACUUCGUGCUUUUGAACUGCUAGGUUGGCAGGAGCAGGGACCGAGCAAGGGGAGCUCACCCCGUUGCGGGGAUUUGAACCGCCGACCUUCUGAUCGUCAAGUCCUAGGCUCUGUGGUUUAACCCACAGUGCCACCCGCGUCCCUAUGACAGUAUGAUAGUCCUGGAUUAAUAAAGCGAGAUGAGCGCCGCAACCCCAGAGUCGGCCACGACUGGACCUAAUGGUCAGUGGUCCCUUUACCUUUACCUUUUAUGGCCACUGCGCUAAGAGACAAUUUCCUGGCCUGCUCUGGAAACGACAUGCUCCUAAUGUACUUGGAGGGUCUGUGAUUUAGACCUUCUGAUAUCAACCUGUACAAUAAUGAAUAACACAGCGUAUCAAAAACAUUGAUGUCCUAAAAGACUUUGUGUAUUUCAAAUAGACUUUCAACAGUAUUCCAACAACUAGAUCGUAUAUGCUUUGUUUGACAGACUAAGCCAAGCAUUGUUUUUGUUGGGUGUAGUGAAGGGUUAACCUUCUGUGUCUCGAGGCUGAGAGGAGGCGCUUACAAGGGAAGUAAGCCAGGACAUGACGAAAGCAGCUUGGAAUGCUGUGAGCUGAGUGAAAAGUGAAAGCAGCUUUGCUACGCUGCAAGCUGAGAGAGAAGGACGCAGAGAAAAAUGCAGCUUGAAUCAGAUGGUGUGUAUGGAUUGUAAAUAUGCUACUUUUGAGCAAAUAAAGUGCUACUAGAACAGAAGAAACGUGUGGGACUUGUUUUACUGCCCUUUCAACACGGACGCUGUGCAAUUCUCCUAAUUGCUUUAUGACCUGCAGAGGCUCGCAGGGGGAAGUGUGCUGGACGCCAAGAAUAAAGCAAUAAAUCUACCUAACAGUUUUUAUAUGUGAUUGGGUCUUGCCUGGAUAGCUCAGUUAUUUAGAGCAUGGGUAGGCAAACUAAGGCCAGAUCCUGCCCAAUCGCCUUCUCAGUCUGGCCCACAGACGGUCCAGGAAUCAGCUUGUUUUUACAUGAGUAGAAUGUGUCCUUUUAUUUAAAAUGCAUCUCUGGGUUAUUUGUGGGGCCUGCCUGGUGUUUUUACAUGAGCAGAAUGUGUGCUUUUAUUUAAAAUGUAUCUCUGGGUUAUUUGUGGAGCAUAGGAAUUUGUUCAUUAUUAUUUUUUUCAAAAUAUAGUCCGCCCGCCCCCCCACAAGGUCUGAGGGACAGUGGACCGGCCCCCUGCUGAAAAAGGUUGCUGACCCCUGAUUUAGAGCACGGUGCUGAAAACGCCACGGUUGCAGAUUCGAUCCCUAUCUGCAUAUUCCUGCAUUGCAGGGGUUGGACUAGAUGAUCCUCAGGGUCCCUUCCAACUUUACAAUUCUAUGAUUCUGUUUCUGACUGUUGGAGUCAAGGGGUGGAUAUAGACAGGGGACAACGACAGUAUAAAUAAGUCAGAAAUUAGAUUGUUAUAACAAAAGAAAAAUUUUCUAUGGUAAAUCGUGUUUAAAAAAAUUCUGCUGUCUUGCGCCAUCUGGUGUCAUAUGUUUAUAGUGCAUUCAAAUAGCUUUUUUUUUUUUAACUAACGUACCUGAGUUUGAGAUGGCAGAACAUAAAAAAGCAGCAGCAGCAGCAGCAACAAAAAGUUUAGUGGUGAAAGAUGACCAGCACAAUUGCCAUGUCCACAUGCUCCCAUUGAAAGGUGUGCUAACAUUACUACUUCAAAGUGCGAGAAGUUGCUCCCUCCAUGUGUUCUCCCCCUCCCCCCAGCUGCUCACAUCAGCAUGGGUUCAGUGUGUUUCUGUUUGGGCUCACAUCAAGAGGCAUUGACUGGCAGGGAUGUCCUGAUUCUUCGCAAAGGUGUUUACAUUUUGUUUUUUUGCUGGUUAGUGUGGCGGUUGAAUCAUAGCUGUCAACUUACAGAUUUGAAAAUAAGGGACCAGCAGCCUCGAAAAUAAGGGAUCAACAGCCAAAAUAAGGGAUUUUCCAAGCACAGGUAUGUUCGACUUCUGAGCCCCUCCGAGCCAAAGGCAGAAAGCCCAGCCAGCAGCCAAAUGAAGCCUCAAGCAGUGGUUCCCACAGCGCAGCAACCCGGCAAAGCGGAUGCAGCAAGGAAAACCACCAUCACCUCUCCGCUGGGAAGCGCUGAGCAAAGGCAAGUCCCCAGGCAACGAGGCCAAUUUGAUCGGCACAAGGCAUGCAAGCUCCACCCCCCAGUCGUUCUUAGACUCCUUAUUGGGUGAGCAACGCAGCCAAGCAACACAGUUGGAGCCUCCCUCCUCCCUGGCCAGCAGGGAGGGAGGGAGAGGAGCUGCUUCCUUUGAAACCCGGGAAAUUUAAGGGACAUCAUCAAUAAGGGACAGCAGCGGGACACGGCGCUGGGAUAAGGGAGUUUCCCACCAAAUAAGGGACGGUUGACAGCUAUGGGUUGAAUAUGGCCAAUAUCCUGUAGCAUCUCAUGGGGAGAUUGAGCUGGAAUCAGCCAAGCUAAGAGGACAAGGAGAACUUCCACAGACCAGAAGGACCAUUUUAAUAAUAAUAAUAAUAAUAAUAAAUUUUAUAAUGAACGAUUUUAGAGUGUUGUUUAUGCUAUACUUUUAUACUGUUUUAUUGUUGUUAGCCGCCCUGAGCCCGGCUUCAGCUGGGGAGGGCGGGAUAUAAAUAAAAUUUAUUUUUAUUAUUAUUAUUAUUAUUAAUUUAUUAUUUAUACCCCGUCCAUCUGGCUGCCCCCCCCCCCCAGCCACUCUGGGCAGCUUUCAACAGAAUAUUAAAAUACAAUAGUCUAUCAAGCAUUAAAGGCUUCCCUAAACAGGGCUGCCUUCAGAUGUCUUCUAAAAGUCUGGUAGUUGUUUUUCUCUUUCACAUCUGGUGAGAGUGCGUUCCACAGGGUAGGUGCCACUACUGAGAAGGCCCUCUGCCUGGUUCCCUGUAACCUCACUUCUCGCAGGGAGGGAACCGCCAGAAGGCCCUCGGAGCUGGACCUCAGUGUCCGGGAUGGACGAUGGGGGUGGAGACGCUCCUUCAGGUAUGUUGCAGGAACCCCCCCCCCCGCCCAAUCAUUCAGUUUGUACAAACAUUACACACACAUACACUCACACACGACAUACACGUUUCUCUUAUAAAUUCAUAGUAAAUCAACCGUACAUCGGAUUUACACCGGUCUGCUUUUAUUUUGCUCCAUGAAGGAAGCACUAUCAAAGGGGGAUGGUUUGAUACAGGACGGCCAUAAUCCCUUAACCAUACCAACACGUACUCAGAAGCCCUGCCCAGUUGGCAUGGCAACCUUGAUGGUCCCAGACAGAAGACCAUCAAGGACACAACGGACUUGCAUAUGGGAGUGGAUUCAAUACGGACUGGAACAAAGGACAAUGAUCAGAUCUUUCCUCUGGGGGCAGGAAACUCCCAACUCCCCUUUGUCCUCUGGAAAUGACUCAUGGGGAGGGGGAAAGGAGGAACCAGCCAGGUGACAAGAUACUCAGGUUACUUCCACAACCCCUCCCUCAACUCCUCCUUUUUGUGAUGUGUCAGUGAUGUAGUCAUGAUGUAGUUGUGAUGUAGUUCUAGGGGUGUAGCUUGGGGGAUUAGUAGCUAAUAAAAGUUGGGGUCUUCUUUUGUUCGGGACUUCCAUCUUGCUUCAUCUUGUUGUGGGUGGGAGUCCUGUCGCGACAGUUUCCAAUAAAGGCCAAGCCUACAGGCUGCUGUUUUGCUCCAAAUUGUCCUGGUUGGUGUCCUUGUCUUUUUGUCCAAGGGAGCCCUCGGAUUCCUCCAUUAACAGGUAUAUUGGACCGAGGCCAUUUAGGGCUUUAAAGGUCAGGACCAACACUUUGAAUUGUGCUCAGAAACGGACAGGGAGCCAGUGUAGGUCUGUUGCUUGCCACACUUUAGCAACAUGGACCAUAAAGAAGGCUGAUCGCCGAAGAAUUGAUGCUUUUGAAUUAUGGUGCUGGAGGAGACUCUUGAGAGUCCCAUGGACUGCAAGAAGAUCAAACCUAUCCAUUCUUAAGGAAAUCAGCCCUGAGUGCUCACAGGUCGUGAAGCUGAGGCUCCAAUACUUUGGCCACCUCAUGAGAAGAGAAGACUCCCUGGAAAAGACCCUGAUGUUGGGAAAGAUGGAGGGCACAAGGAGAAGGGGACGACGGAGGACGAGAUGGUUGGACAGUGUUCUCGAAGCUACCAACAUGAGUUUGACCAAACUGCGGGAGGCAGUGGAAGACAGGAGUGCCUGGCGUGCUCUGGUCCAUGGGGUCAUGAAGAGUCAGACACGACUAAAUGACUAAACAACAACAACAACUUUAGCAACACCUCAGCUCCUUCCUUUCAGUCCGUGGGUCUAUCAAAUCUCCAACUCUGCUCAAUUUCCAUGUGAACUCGGUGCACAUGAACUGCCGCCAGCACUAACACAGCAAACACGGAUCCCUUCGAUCAAGCUGGCGCAGCAAAAAGCAAGGAAUGACAUUGGAAUGACUUUGAAGAAAGGAAAUGGAAUGGCACCUCAAAGCUUUCAGUGGUCCCUACAUAUGGCAACAGCCCAGUUGCCUCCAUACCACCCGUUUCCCAGUUUGCAAUGAUCAAGGUGCCCCCCCCCCCCCGAUUUGCAAAUGUGUCAAUCCAGCACAAACGUCGAGGCUCAUUGGUGGGAGAAUGUGAGUGUCAGAAAGGUGCCAAUAGACAUUUCUUGGCUCCCUCAAGGAAAUAAAGGCCAUCGCUGAGACUGUCAAAAUGAUUAAUAGCUUAUGGAGUGUGGGAGGGAAAGAAAUGGAAAGGAAGGCGAGGAAAACAAAAUGGGGGGGGUGGACAGCAGAUGGGAGAUCUAUAAAUAAACAGAGAGUUAAAUAAAUGCGGUAUUAUCUCAGUGCAGAGAUGAGAAGGAGAUCAACAGCAAAAUGAAGGCAACUUUAUUUUGCCAAGGCAGUGGAGUAAGAUAAGAAAAGGUAUAACAGCAGAUUUGGCCUGGUGUCUUUAAAAAAAAAAAAAGGAAAUUGAAGUUAAUGUGAGGGAAUAGUGGGCUUUCCCCACAACCCACCCUACCUGUGUUUCAGCACCUGCUUAAUCAGAGAUAAUGGUGAGACUAAAAAAACCCCAAUAUGCAGACCACCGCUGUUAGCUCUUAAGAACUAGGGUCUGUCUCCAGCUAGACACAGCUGUAACAGGAGGGGAUCCUAACCAAAGCCCAGGUGGACUCUUCUUAAAGCAGCAGACUACAGUGGUACCUUGGUUCUCAAACGCCUUGGUACUCAAACAACUUGGAACCCAAACACUGCAAACCCAGAAGUAAGUGUUCCGGUUUGCGAACAUUUUUCAGAAGCCAAACGUGCUCCAUUUUGAGUGUUACGCUUCCGAUUUGAGUGUCACACUUCCGUUUUGAGUGUGACGCUGAGGUCUGUCUGUUUUUGCUAUUUAUUUUGCGUUCUUGUUGCCUCUUUUUGUUUUGUUUUUGUGACUGUGUGGAAUCCAGUUCAGCUACUGAUUGAUUGAUUGAUUGAUUGAUUGAGUGACUGCAGCACAUUGUUUAUUGCUUUCAUUUUAUGUAUCAAUGGUCUCGUUAAAUAGUGAAAUUCAUGUUAAAUUGCUGUUUUAGGGGUGGUUUUUAAAAGUCUGGAACGGAUUAAUCCGUUUUGCAUUACUUUCUAUGGGAAAGCGCGCCUUGGUUUUGGAACGCUUUGGUUUGGGAACAGACUUCCGGAACGGAUUAAGUUUGAGAACCAAGGUACCACUGUAAUAUGCAGUUGAAAAGGUUGACAAUAAGACCUAUGGAGGGGUUCGUGGGAAGUCUGGAGAUUCAGAGAAAUCUCUAAAUGUGGAUAUUGGUAUUGUUAUAACUCUACGUUUGUAAUAUCAAAUAAAAAUUAUUUUUUUAAAAAAAAAUAGCUCAGAAACUUCAUUCUUUUUUGUGAUUUUGCCACAGAUUGCUCAACAACUUUGGGCAAAACUAAAAAAUGCUCAGCAACUUUUUUUUUACUUUUCAAAAUAUGGCAACCAUAUACCUAUUUCCUAUUACCGCUGGGCAAUGACAGAGGUUAAGAAAAUAAAAGCCUGGAUAUUAUAAUUUACAGACAAAAGAGUGUUGGUUAGAUUGGAAGCCCAUUGGCCAGAGCCUGGUUUUCUAAUCUGUUUUCACGGUGACUAGUGUUUUAUGCACUUCACAAGUACUAAAAUAACAACAUAUAAAAUAUAAAUAACUAUUUUUAAUAUUUGUUUUCUCAAUGAGCUGCCUCUUUUACAUGGUCCCUAUUAAAAUAAAUCACACAGAGAAGGGCAAUCUUGCUGUCCAAUCCAAGAUGAUCCUUGCUACACUGGAACCUGGCUUAUUUGUCUAAAAGCGUCUCUUAGCUCAAAAAUGGAAACAACAGGAAUUACCAACGAUUGUAGAGUGGCAGAUGAAGAUGAUGGAAUAUGCAGAAUUUGCAAAGCUGGCUGGGAAAAUCCGAAACCAGCACCAUCAAGCUUUCCAAAAAGACUGGGGUAAAUUUGUACAAUAUUUGAAGGACAAUUGCAAACAAUUAACAACACUAGCAGGAUUCAUUUAAAAACACUUGUAACGAUUAUGACUCAUACCUUUUUAUAUUUAUUUAAAAACUCGAUAAUUGAAUUGAAGCAAGAUAAGCAGGAAAAGAUAAAAUGCUAUGACAUAGAAAGGAAGUAUGGUAAAAGGAAGGCGGGAGAGAGGGAAGUCGAACAAAAAGUACAGUGGUACCUCAGGUUAAGUACUUAAUUCGUUCUGGAGGUCCGUUCUUAACCUGAAACUGUUCUUAACCUGAAGCACCACUUUAGCUAAUGGGGCCUCUUGCUGCCGCUGUGCCGCCGGAGCAUGAUUUCUGUUCUCAUCCUGAAGCAAAGUUCUUAACUCGAGGUACUAUUUCUGGGUUAGCGGAGUCUGUAACCGGAAGCGUAUGUAACCUGAAGCGUAUGUAACCCGAGGUACUACUGUACUGUGAAAAACAAGGAUGCAUUUAAAUGUUAUAAAAUGGAAAUUUAAUAAAAUAUGAUUAAAACAAAAACAACCUGGCUUAUUCAUAUACCUUGCUUUCCCAGAAGCAUUGUCAAACCAUAAUAGUCACAGAGAAAGAGUAAUCAUAGCGACAUAGCCAGUCUCACAGAGACCCUACCCAGCAGUACUGAAAGUGCCCAAUCCCAUAUUCCUCUUGAUGAAACUGCAUUGCAAUACCUUCCAAGUGUCCCUAUUUCCACGGACAGGCCUGGAAUUACAGAAGCCAUCCCGGUUUCUGAUUGGAUCUCAGAAUGUCCCGCUUUUCCUUUUUUCCUCUCCUCCACGUCUCGGAGAACAAUUAAAAGUGGUUUGUGUGUGUAGGUGCAAAAAUGGAGUCCUGUUUAUGCUGCAAAUAAAAUUCCCGCACCAAAUGAAGGAAAUGGUGAAGCUGACCGAUGAUUUUGAAGGAAAAUGUCACCCAUCCAAAUUUAAAUUAUUGAAUUGCAGGCAGCCAUUAAUUUUUUAAGGAAAUGCCUUUACUGCUUUUUCCUUUAUUGUAAAUGGAGCCUUACACUGUCUACUGAGAAGUUAAGUCCCACUGAAUGGAGCUUACUCACAGGUAACUGGGUAAAGACAGGGCAGCCUUGCACUGCAAUCCUAAGCAUUUUUACUCAGAACUAAGUCCCACUGAAGGGACGCGGGUGGUGCUGUGGUCUAAACCACAGAGCCUAGGGCGUGCCGAUAAGGAGGUCGGCGGUUCGAAUCCCUGUGACGGGGUGAGCUCCCAUUGCUCGGUCCCAGCUCCAGCCCACCUAGCAGUUCAAAAGCACAUCAAAGUGCAAGUUGAUAAAUAGGUACCGCUUCAACAGAAAGGUAAACGGCGUUUCCGUGUGCUGCUCUGGUUCGCCGGAAGCGGCUUAGUCAUGCCGGCCACAUGAUCCGGAAAAACUGUCUGCGGACAAACGCCGGCUCCCUUGGCCGGUAAAGCGAGAUGAGCACGCAACCCCAGAGUUGUCCACGACUGGACCUAAUGGUAAGGGGUACCUUUACUUUUACCUUUUAAGUGCCACUGAGUUCAAUAGGAUUUAGUCUCUGGUAUUUUCCUCAUCAUUCUCACAGUUUCCAUGAUUAUGAUUAUUAUAUCCCACCUUUUUCCUAACAGGCGUUAACGGAGAAAUCCGAGGGCUCCCUUGGACAAAAAGCAAAGACACCAAGCAGGAAUAUUAGAGCAAAACAGCAGCCAGUAGGCUUGGUCGCGACAGGACUCCAACUCACAAAACGAAGCAAGAUGGCAGCCUCGAACAAAAAAGCCCCAAAACUUUUAUUAGCUGCUAAUCCCCAUAUCACCCCCCCCCAAACUACAUCACUCAUACAUCAUGGUUACAUCAUGAAAGGGGAGGUCUGGUGGCAGUAAUCUGAGCAUCCUGGACCCUGCCCCAUGGUUCUCCUUGCCCUCCACCAAACACCCAUCAAGUGUAACAAAAGACAUAUUUACAUUUCCCUGUUUCCCAGC